UACGUAGGGGGCAAGCGUUGUCCGGAAUUAUUGGGCGUAAAGAGCGCGUAGGCGGGGAUGUAAGUCGGGCGUGAAAUCCCCAGGCUCAACCUGGGAACUGCACUCGAAACUGCGUUUCUUGAGUAUCGGAGAGGAAAGCGGAAUUCCUGGUGUAGAGGUGAAAUUCGUAGAUAUCAGGAGGAACACCAGUGGCGAAGGCGGCUUUCUGGACGGUAACUGACGCUGAGGCGCGAAAGCGUGGGGAGCAAACAGG
Molecule: ribosomal RNA, 253 nt
Filed under: uncultured bacterium
Lineage: Bacteria
Description: partial 16S ribosomal RNA
Rfam family: Bacterial small subunit ribosomal RNA
Source: RNAcentral